UUCACACUGUGAAAUACACCCCAAUUUCCCAAUAGAAAGAAACUGAAAUUAUGAAGAAUAAGAUUGACUGAAAUGGAUGACAGUGUUUAAAAAAUGUUAGCUAGUAUUGAUGUUUUGGAGGAAAAAAAUUACUCCAGGAAUGCUGCCCCGAGGAGGUGAUGGAUGGGGCUGCCACGGGGCCGUGUCAGGCUGGAUAAGUCACUCCAGCUGUGUCAGAGGUGAUCAUUACUCCUGUGCUCCUUGUUUUCUGGGUGCCUGACUGACGACCCUGGUAUGCAGAAAUAUGAGGCACUUAAAGCUUAGCUGCCUCUGAAAUCUCGAUGUUGGAGCUGGCUGUGAGCUUUUUGAUGAAAAUCUUUUUAUUUUCUGUUGGAAAAUGUUGACUCGCCACAGCUGAGAUUUUCACAGGUGUGAAAGAGUGAAAAAAGGUCUCUGUGCUCUUCAUGAAGGGGGAGAGCAGCUGUGUGCCUGGCUGUGCUUUGGGCAGCUCUGGGUUCAGGGAACAGACACCUCAGCAGAUGGGACACACUCAGCCCCAUUUCCCUGGCUCUGCAACAAUUGUCCUGGAGAGGUUGGUGAAGGCAGGACACCCCACACCUCACACUUGCCUCCUACUGACCACUAAUGCUCCCUGCUCAGGCUGGUCUCCCUCCUUCUCCACCAGCUGUGGCUGUGAGGAGUAGCCAGCUCUUGCCUCUCUGCUUCACAUGUAAGAAGAACAAGCACAGCCCCUUCCAUUGCUCCCUUCUCUAAGGUAAGCCUAUUUCCUUUUCUUCUCUUUUCUCUAUUUCCUUUUCACUUUCCUUUCAGGUCACAUUUCCAGGUCCCUUGUUAGCAUUGCCGCUCACUUUCUGAACUGAACUCUAAUUUGUCCAGCUUUAUUUCAGUAGGAUGAUCAAAAUUAGUCACAGUAGUCCAGCUGUGGCCUCUCCAAUCCAUGAGCACAGGUUUAAUGAGUUCGCUGUGUUUUAUGCGCACUAAGCUCAGUAACAAAUUCCAUUCUUAAUUUUUCCUAAUAACUCUGCAAGUUGCAAAUCAUUAGGAACCUGCAUGGAAGGCAGCCUGGCUGGUUUGUAGCACCUCAAACCAUACUUUAUUUUCACUUUUUCUUGUUAAGCACUGAAUUUUUGUCUCUGUUUUUGCCCUUUGGAUGUCAGAAGUUCUGC
RNAcentral lists this long non-coding RNA (1166 nucleotides) under Cyanistes caeruleus (blue tit). Its description in RNAcentral is "lncRNA (ENSCCEG00000010652.1)". The record is from RNAcentral. Lineage: Eukaryota; Metazoa; Chordata; Aves; Passeriformes; Paridae.